Molecule: ribosomal RNA, 494 nt
Filed under: uncultured bacterium
Lineage: Bacteria
Description: bacterial SSU rRNA
Rfam family: Bacterial small subunit ribosomal RNA
Source: RNAcentral
GAUGAACGCUAGCUACAGGCUUAACACAUGCAAGUCGAGGGGCAGCGGGAUUGAAGCUUGCUUCAAUUGCCGGCGACCGGCGCACGGGUGAGUAACGCGUAUCCAACCUUCCGUACACUCAGGGAUAGCCUUUCGAAAGAAAGAUUAAUACCUGAUGGUAUGAUGAGAUUGCAUGAUAGCAUCAUUAAAGAUUUAUCGGUGUACGAUGGGGAUGCGUUCCAUUAGGUAGUAGGCGGGGUAACGGCCCACCAAGGCGACGAUCAGUAGGGGUUCUGAGAGGAAGGUCCCCCACAUUGGAACUGAGACACGGUCCAAACUCCUACGGGAGGCAGCAGUGAGGAAUAUUGGUCAAUGGACGAGAGUCUGAACCAGCCAAGUAGCGUGAAGGAUGACUGCCCUAUGGGUUGUAAACUUCUUUUAUACGGGAAUAAAGUGAGGCACGUGUGCCUUUUUGUAUGUACCGUAUGAAUAAGGAUCGGCUAACUCCGUGCCAG